This 500-nucleotide ribosomal RNA is filed under the name uncultured bacterium. RNAcentral describes it as "partial 16S ribosomal RNA". It matches the Rfam family "Bacterial small subunit ribosomal RNA", at positions 28 to 523 of the family's 1533-position model. The record is from RNAcentral.
GAUGAACGCUAGCGGCAGGCCUAAUACAUGCAAGUCGAACGGUAACAUGAGUAGCAAUACUUGAUGACGAGUGGCGCACGGGUGCGUAACGCGUAUGCAAUCUACCUUUAACAGGUGAAUAGCCCGAAGAAAUUCGGAUUAAUACACCAUAGUAUUGUAAUCUGGCAUCAGAAGACAAUUAAAACUCCGGUGGUUAAAGAUGAGCAUGCGUGACAUUAGCUAGUUGGUAAGGUAACGGCUUACCAAGGCAACGAUGUCUAGGGGAUCUGAGCGGAUUAACCCCCACACUGGUACUGAGACAGGGACCAGACUCCUACGGGAGGCAGCAGUAAGGAAUAUUGGACAAUGGUGGCAACACUGAUCCAGCCAUGCCGCGUGAAGGAUGAAGGCCCUAUGGGUUGUAAACUUCUUUUGUACGGGAAAAAACCUCUUUACGUGUAAAGAGCUGAUUGUACUGUAAGAAUAAGGAUCGGCUAACUCCGUGCCAGCAGCCGCCGUAA